This 2539-nucleotide long non-coding RNA is filed under the name Malus domestica (apple). Its description in RNAcentral is "long non-coding RNA (MDOM_LNC014452)". Lineage: Eukaryota; Viridiplantae; Streptophyta; Magnoliopsida; Rosales; Rosaceae. The record is from RNAcentral.
UCCAAACUCGCAACCUCAUCGCAUAAUACCCCAUAAACAUAAUUAUGUUAAUUAUGAUAUGCAAUACAAUGCUUGUUCUUAGAAUUAGAAAAUGGACUUGUUGAGAUGAUAUGAUAAUGAGGAUAAUAUGAGGCCAGAAAUCUAUGCCAUGAGGGGCCUUUAAGCUAAUGACUGAAACCCAUAGGCUGAAAGGAACAAAUGUCACAGUAAAUCAUAUCAGGGGCCUUCCUCAAGCUAGUAGAAUCCCGAACGAAAUGAAUGACGCUCAAUACAACCUAUUAAGAAAUUUGACCGCUGACCAAGGCUGAUCGCAGUGGACACCAACUUGAACACCCCCGCUCCCCUGUGGACACACAUUUAUAUCGUUCAGGCGAACCUUUCUUCCUUGUCAUGCAGCCAUUUACUAAAGAACAAUAAUUUUUCGACACAUUUAUCUUUUUUUUUCAAAUCAUAGGAUUGAACAAAUAAAUAAAAAAGAAUGGAAAAAUCAGGUACCCAUCCAUUUCUCUCUCUCUCUCUCUCUCUCUCUCUCUAUCUCAAUACUCGUUUGGCUAAUUUUGGAGACUAUAUAUAAAGUUACAUAUCAUUUGCUAUCACGGUUUUUUGUGUAUUUUACUCGAAAAAAAAAACUUAUGUAGAACAGUAAAAGUGUAAAACCACAUGUAUUUUGAUGUCUUAUUUGACCCGCAGAUCUCAGCUGCUUUGAUAUUUCACUUACUUUUGUGUCCCUGUGUUAUGCAUAAAUAAAAGAAAAAGGACGAUGACACCGGAGCAAGGAGAAACCGAUUUUUGCAAACAUGAACCCUGCAAGUGGUGAUUAGCUUAACAUUUUUCUCUUAUUUCAUUUGACCUAUCCUUACUAACAAGUCCUCUUGUUUGCAUGGAAGAUUGGCUCCCUCACCUCACCUAAUAUGCAAUACAUAUUGUGGAUGUAAAUUUUCUCCUCCUCGAUCUUGGACAAUUUUGCACCUACAAAACAACUAGUACCUUAGGUUAAGGCCAAAAGCCUCACGCGCCCACGAUGAAUGGGGGAGCUUUGGCCGAAGAAUCUCCGAUGCCAAAGUUAAAAUUUUAGAGAGAAAUAGUGUUUAGAGUAUUUGAGAUUUUUUGUAAGAGAAUUGGAAUGAAUUUUUGGUGAGAAUAGGUGCCUAUUUAUAGGAUUAAGCUUACCCAUUUUUCCCCUUGGUGUGGCCGGCCUUGAUGGUUUUUGUGGUUAUGAUUUUGGCUUAAUUAGCCAAUUUAUUGGCUAAUUAAGUAUGAAAGAAGUAAAUGAGAGGUUAUAAAAUUAUUUAUUUGUAUAAAUGGGGUAGUAAAAUGGGGAAAAGUAAGAAAGACUAAGAAGAAUGUGAGGUGGCCGGCCACUACCUAUUUUUAGGGUGAAUGGGAUAUAUUUUGUGAUUAAUUGGGUAAUUUAAUUGAUGUUUAAUGGAUUAAUUGGGUAAUUAAUCUAUUAAUUAACCAAUUAACAUUAUUUUGUAGGUUACCUUGCAAAAGGGGAUUUGAUGAGAUGGACUUUGAAUUGGUUACCUCUUUUGGAGCAUUUUUGAUUUCGUUGAAAGAUGAUUCUCCGCUAUUCGUGCGUAGGAAUCCCACUGUGCCUUAAGGGUACUCUUAUCCUUUUUUAUCCAAAGAUCCAUGUGUCACCUUGUGAUUAUUUUUGGCUCCACACAUAUCAAUCCCCUGUGCAAAACAAAGAUUUCCAAGUCAAUGAAUAGGACAGAAUACGACAGCUCAACAACCAUUCAAUUUACUUGACUGAACGAAAAAAAAAAUGAUGAAUUGGAAAUUGGAAUCAUCAUAUAGGCUGGAUAGAACAGAGGCAAUGCCCCAAACCAUCCUGCAUUUCUUGUUCAUCAUUUCUUUUUCCACUGUUAACCAAUUUCUAAUGCUGAAAAAAUGACCGACGGGAUCAUUUUCAUGCUACUGAAUCGGCUGGCUUCAACAACUUAUGAAUAUGUGGACGGAGAGGUGAAGUAUGUUUUGGAAGCCCAGAAAGAUAUUGAAGAAUUUGCUGGCACUGUCAAAGCCAUUCAAGUCGUUCUCGAAGAUGCGGAGCAAAGGCAAGUCAAGGAGGCUAGCGUGAGGAUCUGGUUGGAUCAGCUCAAAGACAUAUCCUUCCAGAUGGUGGACGUGCUGGACGAGUGGAACACUGACAUGCUAAGACAACAAGUUGAGAAGCAAGAACGAGAAGGUGAAGAUGCUCUUGUUCGUAGCACGAAGAAGAAGAAGGUAAUUCUCUCUGGUUCCCCUAGCUGCUUUUGUUUUGGCAAAGUCAGACGGGUAAUUCUCCGUCGUGACAUUGCCCUUAAGAUAAAAGAUCUGAAUGGUAGGUUAAGUGCGAUUGAUGAGCAAAGAAAAAGGUAUGAGUUUCAACACAUAUAAAGAGGUAUUCAAGAUUUACCUGAAUGGCAGAAGACUUCGUCUUUUGUCGUCAUGUCAGAGGUAUUUGGUCGAGAAAAGGAAAAAGACAUUCUGAUAACAAAGUUAUUGAGUGAUGGUGGAAAAGAUCAGAGGGGACUCCUUAUCAUCCCUAUUCUAG